RNAcentral lists this ribosomal RNA (550 nucleotides) under Lactobacillus jensenii. Its description in RNAcentral is "bacterial SSU rRNA". It matches the Rfam family "Bacterial small subunit ribosomal RNA", at positions 1 to 522 of the family's 1533-position model. The record is from RNAcentral. Lineage: Bacteria; Bacillati; Bacillota; Bacilli; Lactobacillales; Lactobacillaceae.
UGGAGAGUUUGAUCCUGGCUCAGGACGAACGCUGGCGGCGUGCCUAAUACAUGCAAGUCGAGCGAGCUUGCCUAUAGAAGUUCUUCGGAAUGGACAUAGAUACAAGCUAGCGGCGGAUGGGUGAGUAACGCGUGGGUAACCUGCCCUUAAGUCUGGGAUACCAUUUGGAAACAGAUGCUAAUACCGGAUAAAAGCUACUUUCGCAUGAAAGAAGUUUAAAAGGCGGCGUAAGCUGUCGCUAAAGGAUGGACCUGCGAUGCAUUAGCUAGUUGGUAAGGUAACGGCUUACCAAGGCGAUGAUGCAUAGCCGAGUUGAGAGACUGAUCGGCCACAUUGGGACUGAGACACGGCCCAAACUCCUACGGGAGGCAGCAGUAGGGAAUCUUCCACAAUGGACGAAAGUCUGAUGGAGCAACGCCGCGUGAGUGAAGAAGGUUUUCGGAUCGUAAAGCUCUGUUGUUGGUGAAGAAGGAUAGAGGUAGUAACUGGCCUUUAUUUGACGGUAAUCAACCAGAAAGUCACGGCUAACUACGUGCCAGCAGCCGCGGUA